This 370-nucleotide long non-coding RNA is filed under the name Lepisosteus oculatus (spotted gar). RNAcentral describes it as "lncRNA (ENSLOCG00000021454.1)". The record is from RNAcentral. Lineage: Eukaryota; Metazoa; Chordata; Actinopteri; Semionotiformes; Lepisosteidae.
GCUGUCUUGAUACCAAACGGAGCUCUGUCCAUGAGCGCUUCUCUCCCUGGAGCUGGCCCAGGCAGGACACCUGGCCAUGUCCGGCUUUAACCAGAAAUAAGCGUGAGGGGCGUGGGAACACUCCAGCUACUCGCAGGUGACAUUUGAAACUAACGCUGGAGAUGAAACAGCUGUCCUUAGGAGAAGAACGGAGACAAUUCCGGAAAGGCAAAGCCAGCAAGGAGAACAGCGAGGGGACAAAGGCACUCUGAAGUGGUUACAUAAAGCAUGCUCUUUCAGCUCUUUUUACAUCAGAUUUCAUGCACCAUCACUACGGAUCAGGCAGAAAGGGAAGCAGAUAAGCAGGCGAGCAACAUGACAGUGUCCUGCC